RNAcentral lists this ribosomal RNA (430 nucleotides) under uncultured bacterium. RNAcentral's name for it is "bacterial SSU rRNA". It matches the Rfam family "Bacterial small subunit ribosomal RNA", at positions 355 to 776 of the family's 1533-position model. The record is from RNAcentral.
UGGGGAAUCUUGCGCAAUGGGCGAAAGCCUGACGCAGCAACGCCGUGUGAGGGAUGAAGGCCUUCGGGUUGUAAACCUCUGUUGAAGGGAAAGAAACUUUUUAGAGCUAAUAUCUCUAGAAAUUGACGGUACCCUUAGAGGAAGCACCGGCUAACCACGUGCCAGCAGCCGCGGUAAUACGUGGGGUGCAAGCGUUGUUCGGAAUUACUGGGCGUAAAGCGCGUGUAGGUGGCUAUGCAAGUCGGAUGUGAAAGCCCUUGGCUUAACCAAGGAAGUGCGUCCGAAACUACUUAGCUUGAGUGCGGGAGAGGAGGGUGGAAUUCCCAGUGUAGAGGUGAAAUUCGUAGAUAUUGGGAGGAACACCGGAGACGAAAGUGACUCUCUAGACCGCAACUGACACUAAGACGCGAAAGCGUGGGUAGCAAACAGG